Molecule: long non-coding RNA, 938 nt
Organism: Pelobates fuscus (common spadefoot toad)
Lineage: Eukaryota; Metazoa; Chordata; Amphibia; Anura; Pelobatidae
Exons: 3
Source: RefSeq, a predicted model, not a curated record
CUAUCUGCUCUAUUGUUAUCUAUUCUCUUUGGCAAUUGCUGUUUCUUUUACAUGGUUCACAUAAUGUAUAUAAUCCUCCCCCUUUUGUGUGGUCCUCCUAAUCGUUCUAAAAUUGUAUAUAUGUAUAUAUAGUCACCUUCUUUUCUCCAGAGGACACAUUGUCACCACGUACAAGUAUUUGUUGGACCGGCCAGCCAUGCAGGAUCACAUGGCAUUUAGGAGGGGCAGAUUGUUAAGUGUUGCGCUAAGUGUAUUUGACAAGCUGAGUUCGACACUCAGUGUAACAGAGUGUCAGUUUGUCAAAUACCCCAAGUGAAGCACUGUCUCCCAGCUGGACUACUUCAACAAAAUGGAAGAUACCCGCAGUCCUUAUUUUGCUUAUCUGGCUGUAUGUAGCAGCUACUACAGUCAAUUUCCUGCAUUUUGUUUUAGGUGAUAUGUUGCAAUGCUUGUGUAAUAUUUGCUAAGAAAACCUUGGUCACAUUUUACUGUGAUCAUUCUACAGUAUGUAUCACAACCAUAUAAGGUAGUAUAAGAGUAGUCUAUCUUAAAUUGCAAAGGUCCAAGGAGACAGAAGGAUAGAUAGAUAGAUAGAUACCCAUUGUACAGCGCUACGGAAUUUGCUGGCGCUAUAUAAAUAAUAAAAUAAGAAUAAGAAUAGAUAGAUAGACAGACAGAUAUAUUAGAUAUAAUGCUAGAUUAGAUGGAUUGAUAGAAUAGAUAGAUAGAUAGAUAGACAGACAGACUGAUUGGUCGAUGGAAGAAUACAGAAAUACCUAAAUGAAUACGAGUAGAAAUAUACGUGUAUGUUUUAUUAAAGCUGAUUCAACUAUUUAAAGCCUAUUAUAAAUACACCAAAACUAGUUUAAUAUUUUUAUUAGUAUAUUGUUUUCCCUUAAAAACAUUGUAAUAUUAUGUAUUUAUUGAAGUGCUGAAAU